This 464-nucleotide ribosomal RNA is filed under the name uncultured bacterium. RNAcentral's name for it is "partial 16S ribosomal RNA". It matches the Rfam family "Bacterial small subunit ribosomal RNA", at positions 28 to 507 of the family's 1533-position model. The record is from RNAcentral.
GACGAACGCUGGCGGCGUGCCUAACACAUGCAAGUCGAGCGAAUGAAGUUCCUUCGGGACUGGAUUUAGCGGCGGACGGGUGAGUAACACGUGGGCAACCUGCCUCAUAGAGGGGAAUAGCCUCCCGAAAGGGAGAUUAAUACCGCAUAAGAUUGUAGUACCGCAUGAUACAGCAAUUAAAGGAGCAAUCCGCUAUGAGAUGGGCCCGCGGCGCAUUAGCUAGUUGGUGAGGUAAUGGCCCACCAAGGCGACGAUGCGUAGCCGACCUGAGAGGGUGAUCGGCCACAUUGGGACUGAGACACGGCCCAGACUCCUACGGGAGGCAGCAGUGGGGAAUAUUGCACAAUGGGGGAAACCCUGAUGCAGCAACGCCGCGUGAGUGAUGACGGCCUUCGGGUUGUAAAGCUCUGUCUUCAGGGACGAUAAUGACGGUACCUGAGGAGGAAGCCACGGCUAACUACGUG